CCCACCCGCACAGACGCCUCCGCCCUGGUGGCAGCUCUGACCCGCUUCUCCCACCUGGCUGCGGAUACCAUCAUCAAUGGCGGUGCCACCUCGCACCUGGCUCCCACCGACCCUGCCGACCGCCUCAUAGACACCUGCAGGGAGUGCGGGGCCCGGGCUCUGGAGCUCAUGGGGCAGCUGCAGGACCAGCAGGCUCUGCGGCACAUGCAGGCCAGCCUGGUGCGGACACCCCUGCAGGGCAUCCUUCAGCUGGGCCAGGAACUGAAACCCAAGAGCCUGGAUGUGCGGCAGGAGGAGCUGGGGGCCAUGGUCGACAAGGAGAUGGCGGCCACAUCCGCAGCCAUUGAAGAUGCCGUGCGGAGGAUCGAGGACAUGAUGAACCAGGCACGCCACGCCAGCUCGGGGGUGAAGCUGGAGGUGAACGAGAGGAUCCUCAACUCCUGCACAGACCUGAUGAAGGUGAGGGGCUGUGACCUGGGGGGGUCUGCACCUGGAGGGCCACCAGUCAUUGCUGUCUUGGUCUCGGCAGGCUAUCCGGCUUCUGGUGACGACAUCCACUAGCCUGCAGAAGGAGAUCGUGGAGAGCGGCAGGGUGAGGGGCCGGCGGCAGCAGGGCACAGUCCACAAGGAGCCUGACCCCCAGCCUAGGCCACCCUGGGCAUGAGACCCUCCACCCCCUACCACAGGGAGGCCUCAGGGAUGUGCCCUAUG
This 711-nucleotide small RNA is filed under the name Pan troglodytes (chimpanzee). Its description in RNAcentral is "retained intron". Lineage: Eukaryota; Metazoa; Chordata; Mammalia; Primates; Hominidae. The record is from RNAcentral.